Zea mays is the source of this 101-nucleotide non-coding RNA. NCBI's taxonomy places the organism in Eukaryota, Viridiplantae, Streptophyta, Magnoliopsida, Poales, Poaceae. The record is from Rfam.
UUAGCCAAGAAUGGCUUGCCUAUCUCCAUUAUUUUGUUCAUCGCAGGAAGCCCUUCCGUGAUGGAUGAAAUGUGGAUGAUGGCAUCCAUUCUUGGCUAAGU